Molecule: ribosomal RNA, 322 nt
Filed under: uncultured Actinomycetes bacterium
Lineage: Bacteria; Bacillati; Actinomycetota; Actinomycetes
Description: bacterial SSU rRNA
Rfam family: Bacterial small subunit ribosomal RNA
Source: RNAcentral
GACGAACGCUGGCGGCGUGCUUAACACAUGCAAGUCGAACGGUGAGGCGGAGCUUGCUCCGCGGAUCAGUGGCGAACGGGUGAGUAACACGUGAGUAACCUGCCCUUGACUCUGGGAUAAGCGUUGGAAACGACGUCUAAUACCGGAUACGACCUUCGGAGGCAUCUUCGGUGGUGGAAAGAAUUUUGGUUGAGGAUGGACUCGCGGCCUAUCAGCUUGUUGGUGAGGUAAUGGCUCACCAAGGCGACGACGGGUAGCCGGCCUGAGAGGGUGACCGGCCACACUGGGACUGAGACACGGCCCAGACUCCUACGGGAGGCUG